Molecule: non-coding RNA, 319 nt
Organism: Pelobates cultripes (western spadefoot toad)
Lineage: Eukaryota; Metazoa; Chordata; Amphibia; Anura; Pelobatidae
Source: the annotation of a GenBank genome assembly
AAUAACAGUUGGAUUAUAUAUUGUAAUAUUGGUCUGUACUGCUAUGUGUAUAGAAUUCGUAUGCUAGCAGCCGAAAGGCGCUAGAAUUCAUGGGUUUUGUUUCACGAACAGAGACUUUACCGGCUGUUCGUGAAAUGAAUGAGCUACCACCCAAUAGCCCACACACAGAGGGUCGUGUGGCACUCGUUAACAAUGUUACAAUCGUUAGUUAAGAGCUUUCGGCUACCAAUCACGCAGCGGUUGGCCAUCUUGGAUCCUUUGUUUCACCAGUGGUGUUUGGUCGUCGAGCGCGUGGAACUGAAAACGGCUACUCUACGGC